RNAcentral lists this ribosomal RNA (483 nucleotides) under uncultured bacterium. Its description in RNAcentral is "bacterial SSU rRNA". It matches the Rfam family "Bacterial small subunit ribosomal RNA", at positions 29 to 506 of the family's 1533-position model. The record is from RNAcentral.
AAUGAACGCUGGCGGCGCGCCUAAUACAUGCAAGUCGAGCGAGAAGACGUAGCAAUACGUUUGUAAAGCGGCGAACGGGUGAGGAAUACAUGGGUAACCUACCCUCGAGUGGGGAAUAACUAGCCGAAAGGUUAGCUAAUACCGCGUACGCUCCUUGGACUUCGGUUCAGGGAGGAAAGCGAUACCGUGGGUAUCGCGCUCUUGGAUGGGCUCAUGUCCUAUCAGCUUGUUGGUGAGGAACGGCUCACCAAGGCUUCGACGGGUAGCUGGUCUGAGAGGACGAUCAGCCACACUGGCACUGCGACACGGGCCAGACUCCUACGGGAGGCAGCAGUAAGGAAUAUUGCGCAAUGGGCGAAAGCCUGACGCAGCGACGCCGCGUGGGGGAUGGAGGUCUUCGGAUUGUAAACCCCUUUCGGGAGGGAAGAUGGAACGAGCAAUCGUUCGGACGGUACCUCCAGAAGCAGCCACGGCUAACUUCGU